UCAGACGAUGCGUCAUGCAUAUCAAUAAGCGGAGGAAAAGAAACUAACAAGGAUUCCCUUAGUAACGGCGAGUGAAGCGGGAAGAGCUCAAAUUUGAAAUCUUCAAGGUUUUACCUUGACGUAUUGUAGUUUGAAAGAAGUGUUUUCUGUUGAAGUUUUGGUAAAAGUUCUUUGGAAUAGGACAUCAUAGAGGGUGAGAAUCCCGUAUUUGACCAUUAUUUCCAGCUUUGUGAUACACUUUCAAAGAGUCGGAUUGUUUGGGAAUGCAGUCCAAAAUGGGUGGUAAAUUUCAUCUAAAGCUAAAUAUUGGCGAGAGACUGAUAGCGAACAAGUACCGUGAGGGAAAGAUGAAAAGAACUUUGAAAAGAGAGUUAAACAGUACGUGAAAUUGUCAAAAGGGAAGCGUUUGACACCAGUGUUGUUUUCUCGAAAAUCAAUUAAAAAGAGUUGGAUUUUGUGUUGUAUUGACCUUAACAGCUUGCUUCACUCUUUUCCUGCUUUUUUUAAUGCACUUUUCGUUUAACAAGUCAACAUCAGUUUCUUUUGUUGUAAAAGGGUCAUUGGAAGGUGGCUUUCUCUUCGGAGAAAGUGUUUAUAGCCUUUGAUCUCUGCAAUCGGAGAGACUGAGGUCUGCAGCGUAGAUCCUUCGGGGUUAGAUACAUUUGUGCUAAGUUAUAGCUUUUCAUAGACAACUUGUUGACUAUGAUUAGUCAUUGUAGCUUACUCGCUUAUGCUAUUUUACCUACGCUUAGGAUGUUGAUAUGCAUGACUGAUAU
This 776-nucleotide ribosomal RNA is filed under the name uncultured Neocallimastigales. RNAcentral describes it as "partial large subunit ribosomal RNA". It matches the Rfam family "Eukaryotic large subunit ribosomal RNA", at positions 18 to 635 of the family's 3401-position model. The record is from RNAcentral. Lineage: Eukaryota; Fungi; Neocallimastigomycota; Neocallimastigomycetes; Neocallimastigales.